AAGUCGUAACAAGGUUUCCGUAGGUGAACCUGCGGAAGGAUCAUUAACACGUUAUCCACGUAUAUACAUCUCCUGCGAACUCUUUUUUAAGUUGGCUGGCCAGCGUAGCAAUGGAGGUAGAUUUUACUAUGUCAACCACUCGGCGCUUCGGCGCUUUGUGGCUGUUCUACCUGCCUAUCUAAAAUGACGUGGUCCUCAUCUCACUCCUGUGAGGCGGGUCUUAGAUCGACGUUCGUUUUGGGUAUUCUGGCCCAUAUGACUUGAAUCAUAGUAGUGUUUCUCUAUUCACCUUUUUAUAUCAAUAUGUAUGAUUUGUGAUGGUUGGUUGGGAUGUCGGAGUUUUAACGAACACCUUCAUCCCUAUCCCAGCUCACGUUAAAAAAACACUUAUACAACUCUUAGCAACGGAUAUCUCGGUUCU
RNAcentral lists this unclassified non-coding RNA (421 nucleotides) under fungal sp. RNAcentral describes it as "partial internal transcribed spacer region". The stretch from base 1 to 46 matches the Rfam family "Eukaryotic small subunit ribosomal RNA", at positions 1786 to 1831 of the family's 1831-position model. The record is from RNAcentral. Lineage: Eukaryota; Fungi.